Cygnus olor (mute swan) is the source of this 14263-nucleotide long non-coding RNA. RefSeq lists it as uncharacterized. NCBI's taxonomy places the organism in Eukaryota, Metazoa, Chordata, Aves, Anseriformes, Anatidae. The record is from RefSeq and is a predicted model, not a curated record. The transcript has 3 exons.
GCGCCGCGGAUUCUGCCGCACGGGGCUCGGCGAGCCCGGCCCGGGGAAGGGGGGCACCUGCCCCGGUGCACCGGGAGCAGGCUCGGGGUCGUGCCGGGCUCAAGGCUAGAGCGCGGAAAUCCAGGUGGGCGGCUGCCCCUCCGCGGGUCGGGCUCACCUGCGUGUGCCGUCGGUUUUCUGAGGCACCGGCAGGUUCAGGUGGGCUCCUCGGGGGGGUGGCGUGCGGGGAGGGCUCGAAGUCCCCCGGGAAAAACGGUCUGCUUCGUUACAGGCGCUGUCACGGCUCUAGGGCAACUCAGUGCUCCUGAGGCUCGGGCUCCUGUCCCCAGGUGGAAAGCAGAAGGACAGAGCAGGUGCUCCGGGAGGUCGAGGCACUCCUAGAGCACUCCUACAGCAGCGGCACCUUCGCGUCGUGUGUGUGACUGAUUUGUUUGGGCAAAAUGCUUCAUAAAUGCAAAGAUGUGGAGGGUGCGCAGCGGGGCGAGGUAGAUUUACGGUACUGGGAAGCGAUACAUCAAGAUUUAUGAGCAGAAUCGUGUAUAAUGAAGGGUAAUUUGUUAAGACGGAUUCCUCUGCCACAUCCCCCAGCACUGUUAGGAGUGUGGUGACCUUGCCCAGGGCACUGUGACAUGCUGGUAUUGUACAAUGCGAGGGUAAACAGCAUGAGGUAUGAGUGCCUACAGUUUGUCUACAGCACAGGACUUCAUAUGUACAUACAGUUAACAUAACGGACGUAAAUUAUGUAGUAAUUUUUGGAAAAUGAAUCAGAAGUGGGUAGCUUCACUAAUAAGUUAUUAAACCAGUUAAUUCUGCAGUGUUACGGUUACCCAAAAUCUAAAUCUGUCUUUGCACGUGAUCUGCUUAUUCCUAUAUUAAAAGCAAAUGCCAGCAGACGUUCAGCAAUGACACUGGCUUUUUUUUUUUCUUUUUUGGUCAAAGACAACUAUUGCUUGAUUGAGCAAAGGACCUGGGCAGGCUGCCACGAAGCCAUAGCCAACUUCUUAAAGCCACUGUGUAUUAAAAUUGAUGGUGUCAGACGUUUUGGUUAAGGUGGAUAGAAUACUAACGUCCUGGAUUUAUGCGCUUCCGUAACUUAAGUGCUGUUCAUGAUACAUAUGUCCUUUAAUUGAGCGAAUUACGUGACAGCAUAACACAAUGUGUACAAAUAACAUCUGUUGAUUCCAAGUACGUUCUGUAGUUCCGAUACUUUUAUGUCUCAGGGAUUUUUGUCCUUUCUGUAUGUAUUUGUCACUCUGGCUGCUGUAGCUGCAACACAUAUUGGUAUGCCUCCUUCCAACUUCCAUUAAUGGGAAGGGAGGGGAAUUUAAAUCUAAAAACAUCUACAUGUGUUGUCUGGCUUGCUGGUUGCCAGAGCAGCUUCUCCAUCACAAUAGAUCCAAUCCAGCACAGGUAGGUAGUUGUACAAGUUCUCUCUUUUUCCCAAAGUUGACAUCUGUGGUUCAGCCCUGACAGUCAGGGCAGCAGUGUAACCAGUGGCUGGUUUUGAAGAAUAACAACCAAAACAAAAUGCAGUUUUAACCAUCAGUGUGCUGUCCUGUACAAUCAAGACGAAUAAAGGCUUGCAAUUAAGUCACCAUUGUGAUAACAGCUUUGCCAGCACUUACAUAAUUACUCUUUUGGUCUACUUUACUUUUCUAUUUAUUUGUUAAGGUUGUGCCAGUUGCCCAACAUAUACCCACAAAGAAAGUAUGUACAGGACAGCUACUGCUUCUUUCAUAGAAAUCCUGUCACGGAGGAGCCAUGGAGGUCUGCAGUCCUCCUGGUGGGAUCUGCACUCCCAGUGGGAUUGGCACUGGGAGCAGGGCUGGUUGCUCAGGGCUUUCUCCAGUGUUCCUCAUGAGGAUCCUCUGCAGGAUCCAUGUGCUGGAGCAGAGGCGUGCAGUAUGCAGCUGGGCAGCAGGAAGGAGCUGAGCCUUGACUGGAGCAAAGAGAGAGCUGAACCUUGGCUCUUCUGCUCUCAGAGAGGCAGACAGCAUGGCUGGGCUGCCGUGACAAGUAAGCGGUGCGUAAAAAGACCACUACAGUGUGCGUCCACCCUUUCUCCAACCUCUCAACCUUUUAGUGAGAGGAUCGAGCAGUCUGGUCCCUGCUGUGCUCCUGGCUUGGGACUGUCCCACACUGUCUCAUGUUCAGGCAGGAGCUGUGGUGCCCAGCAGCUCCCAGUCACUCUUCUUGAUUCGCCAACCUGGAUUUGUUUCUUAAACAAUGGGUGUACCUGCUGCAGUGAUGCAAAUGCCAGCCUUAGGUUUUCUGUGCUUACCAUAAUUUUUGCAGAGGUGGUUCACAUGCUGGUUAUGUUCCUGCUAUGCUUACGUUUUUUGUUAGGAUUCUCAAACUCAUUCCUUCCCUAAUAUGAUCACUUUUAUGUCAGUUCAAGAUUGGAAACAUGAAUUAAGCUGAUAAAAAGUAUCUAAUGCACUAAUUCACGGUUUACCAUAAUUUUAAAGAAAUCUGCCAUGAAAUAGGUUUUUGUGGCUUUUUUUGUUGCUAGCAAAACGGAGCAGCUUAGCUAUGAUGAAGCACAUACUUUCUGGCUAUUGAUUGGGAAAUGAACCAGGAUUUAACUCCCUUGUUGGAGUGGUGCCCUAUUGGUCUGAAAACUCGUAUUAAAUACCAUGUUUUACUGUUAGGGUAGUUCUGGACCACUAUGCUAUUAUGGAAAUUUGGAACUCGACUUACACAUUUAACAAACCCUUUAACGAUAAUGACCCCAGGGUGUUUCUGAGAUCACUACUCAAAUCUCGAUCACCUGUUACAAGAAAACACAACGAGCCUUAGUUAUUACAUCCGUAGUAUGUGGCUGAAAAGUACGCUUUCAGUUGCUAUACGCUGAAAAAAUCGGAACAAAUAUAUUUAAGUUUUGAAGCUCAGGACUUCACAGUCAGGAGAUGCCAGGGGUAAGGUUGCCUGUUGCUGCCUUGCUGUCCAGCCUCCUUACAGAGUAGGACUGUCUUUUAAUGAUGUUAUUGCAUCCCUUUUUUUUUUGCACAGAACUUUCUCCCUCAUUCAUUGUACGGGGUAACAAUCCCCAUAGCUGAGGGUAUCAAUCUAAAGCCUGAUGCAAAUUAAAUUUCCUCGCUGAGUGUUGCAAACUUCUUGCCAUUAACGUUUUAGCUGUGUUCCUAGAAGUUGUAAGAUUAUGUCCCAUUCUACAGAUGGGAGCCAGAGGCACGAUGAGAUUAAACUCACCAGUAUCAAAAACUGAGUAUUAGAACUUGAAUUUUUAGUAGUUAUAUUUCCCUGUUAUAAAUACUUUAAUACUUAAUUGCUCUCAGUGACUCCUGUUGCACAAUAAUUAUGCAGAUCAGGUUUCCAGGAUCUAAUUGUGCUAAACUUGCAGAGUAAGUCACAUUUCCUGCCUGUCUGGACAAAUUUUAUAUCAAGUGACUUGCUGCAAAUCAGACAGACGUGGGCAGACACUCAGGGCCACCGUUUACUCGGCGUAGUCUUAGAAACCCCAUUUUUUCCUGCUUGUUGUCUCCCACCCUUCCCUGCAUGCCUUCCAGCAUCAGCGAGAAAUAGAGCAGGAGUCCUGCAGCAAUUGGCUUAAUUAGCUACAGGGCUCUGAUCAAGGGCUGGAUCGUUGUCUGUCAUCAGACAGGGAAGUGUAUGUGAAGACACUGCCUGGUGUGGUCUUGGGCAAAGAUGAAAAAAACAACAAAGGUCCUUGGACCCCACUCAGUUUGGGGCCCGGCCAUUCCCCAUGCAAAUGGAAUUUGGGGCAACUUUUCCGUGGGUCUUCAGUGGUUUGCUCAAAAUGGCAUUUCAAAGUUUGAUAAAUCGGCCGGGUUUGGACAGAUUUUUCAGAGGCUGGUACUAAAAUGACUCCUUGAGCCUUCGCUGUGAUGGAUGAAGCACUGGUGAAUCAAGUAGCAUGAAAAUAUGCAGUGGGUCAAUGGACCUUGGCCUGAAAUUAUCUUGGAAGUGGAUGACCUGCAGCAUCAAAAAUUGUGAGCAUGAAGCAGGUUCGUGACUUAAAGCAAAUUUUACUCUGAACAAGCUGAAAUUAAGGUCUUCAAAUGGAAGGGUUUAGAAAACCUACGCUUUGGGCAUCCCUGAUCAGUCAGGAAGAUCUUACACACUGAUACGCAGCUACAGGUAUCUCUUCAAAUGUGACUGAAAUGCGUUUAUGUCAGAGAUGAUGCCGAACGUUAGCUGAAGUAGGAUAGGAAAUGGAGGAUAACUUGUCCAGCUGAAAACGUGGGAAGGCAUUGUGAGGCAGAAAAUAAUUACCACAUCCAGAAUUUGGCAGAGACAUCAAGGCGAUUCCCCCUCUCCUCCAAAGAGUAAUUUGUGGUUGGUUUGUGGGCUGUUGGGUUUUUAUUGGGUGCAAACGAUCAGGCGUGAGUUUGUGAUUUUGGGAGUCUGUGCUCCCUGGCACGAGCAGAGCCAUGGGGACAGGGGAAGAGCAAAAAAAUUAAAAAAAAAAAAUAAAAAAAAAUGGUGGUCACAAGCAGAGCUAAAUGAAUUGUAGCAAAGAUUUUGUUAUGCCAGUGUGGAGCCAAAACCUGCCAUAUUUCUGAAGCAUAUGAAAAACCUGGAGUUUGUUGGGGUCAGUCUGGUGUGCACGCUUUUAUGUCCCGUUUUAAAAUGAUGCCCGUGUUUUCAGAAAGCAAAGCAGAGACGUUCCCUACCCAUGCACUGGAGAGCACAAGAUGCCGAUUCUCGUGGAUGUUGAUAAGACGUGGAAGUGUAAGCUCCCCCCAGCCCUAACCCAUCAAUGGGAAAAGACUGUCCUUUGUCAAGGAGAAAAGCUAUGAAAGCUGUUCUUUAUUUGGGAUUGAGUGCUUCGGGGAAGAAAAAAAAAAAUGACUUCUGAGCGAUUCUUUUGGUUUGGCGUGCCAGGAAAUUUUCUGUGGUUGUAUCAGUCCUGCAAACAGAGUGAUAGCCAAACAAGUAGUCGUUAAUCUCAUAAAUUACAUUAAUCGCUCUGUACACGCAGUAUUAACGUUGGGAGGGCUUUCUAGGUGAACUUCUGUGAAAUAAGUAGAUGCUUCUCUUUGCGUGCAGGCAGCGUCCGUGCUCUGUAAUUUCCCUGUCCUCCCCGAGAUGCUCCCCGAGGACCAGGGCCCAGGCUGCGAGCGGGGGCGGCGGGGGCAGAAUACCACCAUUGUGAGCGCUGCCGCCACCUUCCCAUGACCCGCGGGAGCCAGAAGUGAAUUCCAGAAAUACAAUUACAAAAAUACCAAUAGGCUUGGCGUGCCAAAUGUUUCUCUAUCAGCGGGAGAUUGUGGAGGGAGCCACAGGCUCCCCGCAGCCUCGAAAUUCAGAGAGAGAGGUGAUUUUUUUCAUGCCCUCUCCCGUGGCUCCGCUGCCGUUCAUCACGUGAGAUCUGGAGUGACUCUGGAGGAGCUGCAGAGCUUCCGAGAGCAACAAGAAAACUAAUCUUCUGGUUUUACGUUUAAUACACAACUUCUGUAUGUGAACGAGUCCUGCUUCCAUCAAAGAGAGCUAUAUCAGAGAUUAUUUUCCCAAGGGAAAUGCAAAUUCAAAUUUGAUUACUUAAUUUCCUAACAUGAAGCCCAAAGCUCUGCUGAUAAAAUGACAAAGCGCUGCUGACAAGAGGGAUGGAUACCAUUUGGAUCAGUCAGUUGUGACUUAGCUAAAGAGGAAAGAUUCUUGAUAAAUCUCAUUUAGUCUGGAGCUUGGGUGUUCACUGGUUUUAAUCAUACAUUAAUCUUUAACAUAUACCUAUAUAUUUUUUCUAGGACGUUAUGAGGUCAGUCCUGUUUCCACUACAACUUAUUUAUGUUUAUUUUUAUUUUUGCUAUUGACUUUGUGUGGUUCCUGAAGCAUCCACCAGGUUCUUUCAGUUCUCAGUAGGCAAAUGUUUCUCCAUAUUUCUCCGCACCUACACAUGGCCGUGGUUUGUUCCACCGGUAGGUGUUUCCUGUGCGACCAGAAGCCUGCUGAUGACAGUCAGUGUGCCGCACAGUGCUUUUCUGGAGGAUCCCCGUUAGUCUGUAAUUGUUGCUGAUGUCUGCAGACCAUGAUACUUGAAACAAAUCAGAGUACUGUUUUUCCAGAAGCAGAAUGUGUAGUACAAAGUUCCUGUAUGUUUAGAUGGAUGUAUUUAUUGUUGGGUUUGUGUUGUUUGUUUUUUUUUUUUUUUUUUGAUACACAGGAGCUCACAUAGACUGGUAUAAAUAUUUAACUUAUUUGUCGGACUUUAAACUGUAACAAUGCUUCUCCAUCCCAAGAUUGCUUCUUAAUACCAGUCAUGGCAUGCUAAAUUACCCGUCGUUUCAGUUAUUUCCUACUAGGUGUGCUCUAUUUUUAUUCAUAUGACCGUAAUUCUAAAGGCCACUUUUCAUAUCCCCACUCAAGUGACUUUAUUUACAGUAAUAACUAUGCUAGACCGUUCAUACAGAACAUUUAUAUCCACAACAAACUGUGAGCUGCUAAGUGAGCGCCAUAGCAAUUCGCAUCAAUACAGCCUCGUGGAUGGCUGGCCAGCAGGCUCCUGAACACGAGAAGUUCCCGGACUCGGGAUGCCCCAGCAGGCUGGACUCUCACCCUGCUGCCUUCCAGUCACAUCCCCAGCACGAUGGGAUUUUCAGUUUCAGGAACCAGCAAAGAGUCACUUCUGAAACUUAAAAGUAAGGCAGUGUAAGAGGCUUCUUGACUGACAUCAAGCAUCCACAAGAGCACUGCGUUUCAUUGGCUCCUCGACAUGUCCUGUUUACAGCUCAAAAAUGAAAAUAUUUUGACAAUCACACCAUCCUGGUGCAGCAUAUACUGCAAAUAAGCAAAGAUUAGAUAUAUACAGAAAUAAGCACAGUAAGUAACUGCACUUGGUACAAAGAGGGAUCAAGAACAUUUGCAAUUAAGUGUAAUUGGUUCCAAAUAAACCCAAACUCCAAAAAAUCAUUGAAUUAAUUUAGGUAGUAAUUUAAAAUACUGCUAAAUACUCUGCCAGUUGUUCCAGUAGAGGGCAGUAAUUUACAUACAGUGAUUUCCAGCAGUAUGGGUGCACAAUAUGCCUGGAAGAACACUAGACACAAUAACCGGUUUUAUUAAGACGAGGCAAUAUUCAAGGCUUACUGAAUGCCUCAAGUACAGUGUGCCAUCCUGGAGUUUUACUUUCUGUGCUUUUGCAGCAGGACUUAAUCACGUUUAAUUACACCAGGAUUUAUGCAAGUCAUACUCAGCUCACUUGAGUAAAUCACCUCCACAUGCCCCGGUGCUCCAUGCAGAGGUAUGCAGCACAUGCCCUCAAUUUAAUGCUACAAAACCCCGGGACUCAGGGACUGUGACACAGCUCUUGCAUUGUUUUGGGCACUUGAUGGAAGAAAUCUUACCAAAAAACAUGUGUUAGGUUCCCAGGGUAAACACUUGAGGUCAGAAACUAUGGAUGCAGCCCCUCUUACCUGCAGGGUGCUCAUCUAGAGCAGUGUGGACAAAGCAACUCUGCAUCUUUUGGCCUGGGGUCCUGAGAUUACUUACAGACUGAAUGUGUUUAGCAAUGUCAAAGUAGCCCCAAACUCAUCAGAGUUUAAAAAAACAAAAAAACAACGCUAACAAAAAAACCAAGAUGCUUCCAGCUAGAGCAUCAUCCAAACCUAAAACAUACUCUGCUGUUCAAAGUUAUCAGAGAGAAUUGUAUUUCAGCAUAUAAUUUAAUCAAGAUACCGACUCUCCCCUGUUGUUGUUGAACUGUAAGUACAUAGAAGAGUUGUUACGUCCAGAGAUCAUUUUUACAGCUCCGGCAGCAUGCUGUAAUACAGUGGAAGAGGAGGCACUGAAACUUAAAAAUUUUGCAUUUUUAAGCUGCAACAAUUUGAUUCCUAACCUAUUUCAAAGCAAGUACCAUUUAAAAUUCCUGCUUAGCUGAGAAUUGUUUAAACUGUAUUUCUCUAGCAUUAAUGCUCAUGCUGUGACUUGAAAGGUAGAAUUCAAACUCUCUAAUUGCUUUAAUAUAUUUCUUUGAGUACCUUUAGUAUCACAUUAAAUCAGAAAACAUGCUAAAUUGGUGCAGAGAAAAACAUUUUUCAAGGGCAGGAUGCUCCUGAACUUCUGGUAUUUUGGCUGUCUGUACCUUAAGGCUUUAAGAAUCAAAACAUGGUGCUUUUCAGGGGUGAAGGUGCUGCUGGUUGGGACCUGCAUGACUGCAAGAGGAAGACAGGACUCAGAGGCAUCCUAAGAUUUGCCUGUGAAACAGCCUUAGAGGAAAUUCAGGGUAAUUGCCAGCUCCGAGAAGGGGAUAGCUUGAGGGAGUGUUGAAAGAGAGAGGUCAGAACAGUACUGUAGCAGGUGAUACCUCUCCGUCAGAAUGCUGAAGAAUUAUACUUAGUGCUGGAAAAGAAGAGAUCCUUUAGAUUUGGGAAUCACCUGCAGUUGGUUCAUAGCUUGGAGUUCCCAAAAGUGUUUUGCAUACAUAUUUAAAGUUUGGAGAAGUGGGACCUGAACAUCUAUCCCAACACACUGCUUUUAGGUAUUUUCAAUGUGCGUCUCGUUCCUCUGGUAAAGACACCUCCUUCUCCCCACACCACCCCCACCCAUCCUGCUCUGAAUGACAUGCUAUGUAAUAGCUUAUCCCGAAUAAUGCUGUAGUAAAUUACUUGAGACUGUGAGUCCUUUAUGUGUCAUUUUACUGCUGAAAGAAUAUGUGAUUGGCAUCUCAUGGUUUUACUCAUUUUAAGAGGUCUCUUUAACAUAAGGACAGAUUUUAUCUAAAUAAAUCAAUUUUACAGGGAGAUUUCAGCCACUGGAUUUGUAGUAAGAAAGAACUUUUUAUUUAUGACAUCGGAGAGACCACAGCUGGGAAUGCACCCUUUAAUAGACUCAGACAGAUGGAUUCUGACAAGUCUGUGAACUAUUCACGCUCUUUUCUAGCAAAUAUUUUGCAGCAAUCCCGACUUGCAAAUGCUACUUCAGAAACAAAUAUGGGACUAUCUGUCUCAAAGUGCAAAACAAAAGAGCGACAAGUGACUUUAAAAUACUGUGGAUUGAAUACCUACGUGAUAUUCUCAUGAAAUUUAGGAAGGAGUGCUUUUAAUGGACAGUAGUUAUGCCUCGAUGGUAAAUGAAAGUACUAGAAGGUUUGUAUUUUUGUAGAUGUAAUGAAGUUAGGAUUUUCAGCAAAGGCUGGCACCGCUUUUUUGGCAAAACAAAAAUAUUUUCCUUUUGUAGAGUAUUUGUCCAUUUGUGUUUUCACUGUCUGAAACAGAGUAAACGCACGUCUUCAGAAUAGCUCCCUCAAUAAAGCAGCAGAAAUAGAAGAAAAUGAUACAAUAUGAGCGAGUACUAAAGGGGGUGGUAGUUACAAGAAAACUGAAGGGAGGAGUAUUGCUCUGCAGUGGUGUUGGUAGUCACUCAGAUCACGUACCUUCGAGUAGAACCAGUGCAUGGCAUGCAUUAUUCCUCUUCAAUUUUUAAAGUUUAAUUUGUAGUUGUAAAAUCUUACUGAACACCGCUGUAUUUCUCACAUCAUAGGAAGGUGAAAAUGACAACUGAUUCUUCUUUUCUACGUAAUUUAUUACUUCAUUCACCUUUACCAUAUCUUCUAUUACUUUUCUCAGUUGAGAUUUUCAAAGCCUCAUAAUAGCCUUGAGCCCAUCAGCUGUCUUUGAACAGACUGGGAAAUUGCAUAGCCAAACAGACACAGUCAGCUUUCAAAAUGUCAGUAAUCUUCAUUAACAGACAUAAUUGGACAUAUGUAGCCUGAACCUCUGGACCUGCCACAUGGUGAGGUGGUUGGGGCUUUGCCCAGCAUCCUUCCUGGGAAGAACUCUUACAGCUUCCUUAUCAGUUAAAGAGCUGAACCUUUUUUAUUUUUUUAUUUAUUUUGGCCAAUUACACUAAUGAAAAUAUACAGCAAGUUCUCCAAAACCAGCAGAAACACUCUGGAGUCUGUUGUAAGGAUGGCUUCCGUCAUCCUGACUUGACUCACUCCGUCCCUGCUGAAAAUUAAGAAGCGUUAGUUCCUAGAAAGUCGGAAGCAUAGAGUUUUACAUCAGCGUGGCAAAUAAGUAUUUUGGUAAUUACAUUCUCUCCCUCUAUAUGUCCCUAUGUCUAUAUGUCUAUAUGUUCCAAAUGCUUUUAUUUCGGAAUGAAUUUGAUUCUGAUAAUUUGAUUAUGGCCUUAAUUCAGCAGAGCAGUUACCUACCAUAUAAACUUAAACACAGAGUUAAGUGUUCACUUAUCUGGACUCACCCGUUUUGUUACACUUAACCUCUAAACCAACAGCACAUUCUCUUUAAACAUAGUACGUAUGAGUUCAGUGUGGUAGGAUGCGUUCAUCAGAAACUGGAAGGUACCAGAACAUCUGUAUUUCUGAUGUAUCAUAAAGUAGAGGCUACUGUAGCUAAUCUGAUUCAAAUGGAGAUCAAAUAAAUUCCAGAAUCUAGGUUAGAAAAGACACUACCGAAUAAAAUUGACUCUGAAACAUCUGCUUUGUUUUAUACAAAACCAUAAAAUACGUAAUUACAGAACCGCCAGGGCUGUUUCUUUUGAAGGCAUCCUAAACAACAAGGACAUCAGGACAAGUGUUUAUCAGGCCAAGGCAGAUAGAUUAAUUGUGGCAUGGCAGCCUUUUAAAGAAGCAGUUUCAUAGGGAUUAUAAAACAGCUGGGACGAAUUGUAGGUGGGAACACCAGGAUCCGCAGAGCUGUUGUAAAUCUCUGCAUUCUAGGUCAUGGCAGAGCUACAGCGCAGAGCACUCGCUCCUUCACCCCUUGUUGCUUUCUCUUAAGGCUCCUGGCUUUUAGAGGGCUGCAGUGAUUAUCUCCUCUUUAUGGAAAGGAUCAGUUGGUGCAAAUGCUAGGGAUCCUGAAACUGGGAAGACAGUUUAUUGCUGUGACAGAUCAGGCAACAUAUGGAAGGAAACAAGACUUUCUCCAGAGACAGAUUAAGUUUUUGCAAGGCAUUUUAUUGAAAUUUUGGAAAAUAAACAGGUCAUUAAUUGGGUCCAGAUUUAGCUACUGCAAAUAGUGCAAAGAUGUUGCAAACCAGAUGCUUUCCCCUAUUUGUUUUUACAGCCCUUUCUAUUUGUGGAUGCUCUUAUUUAAUGACUUGUUUCUCUAAUAGAGGGCAUUGUUUUACACCGGACGUCUCGUCUCUCAAUUAUUUUUGCCAGUAGAUGCCUGAGUAAAAUAUGUGUGUCCACAGUGUUUCAGGGGGAAAAAACAGUCAGCAGUAAGCCAAUAAGUAGGAAAUAAUUAGGAGGAAGCUGUGGAAUACAGUGGUUUUUAUAAAGUCAACAUAAUUUUUUCCUGGAUUCCUCAGCAUGUAGUAGUUUUGAGCUUUUGUCCAUGCAGACCGUGCUAGUGCAGUGGUGGAAACAAAGACGCCUGUCCCUUGGACAGCAUCCUGAGACUUGGCUUGCCAACGACGGUGUGACUGCGGCCCACAUCAGCCUCUCACGGGCUUUUCUGAAGCAUGUGGCACAGGCACUGACGUACCUGUCAGCCCUGGUGCAGCACAGUUUCCUAGCCGGAUCUCUAGAUCAAGGCUGGAUCCCCAAACGGGAAAGCGGCAGCCACAUCAGCUGAGCCGUACGGACUGGCAGACGUACUCUGAGAGAAGCAGUCGUGCUUCCUUUUCCACUUCGGUUUCAUUUUGUCCCCGGAGUAGAGGCAUUGCGUUGUGCUCAAUCCACACAGCAUGAUUCAUGUUAUAAAUAACAUAGAGGGUGAGAUAGGUGACUGCCCUGGCUUGAAAGCAGCGAGUGCGGUGGGGAUGCCUUCCGAAAGCACUGAGCUGGUUGCACUGGGGGUCCUCUACAGUCAAGACAGAAGUAGGGACCUCCCAGAGCAAGUCCUGUCAUCCUGAAAUGGAUGUCGGAGACAAGUGGGGUGAAUUGCCCUCCGGGGGUGCUUGUUUCCCUCCACAGUCCCAGCCACGUGACAGCACCAAAGACGCCUCCGCAGGAGUGAAAAGCCGUCUCUUCGCCUGCCACCUGAGGGCAUUUGAUAUGGAACUUGGUGAGACGCUGGCAUCGCAGAAGUUUAAUUUUAGAGAUUGUUGCCCGCAGCAUCUCUGGCUUCGUUUGGAGAUACCUGCUCGAGUAAGCGAGGCAGCAGAUCGGGUUGACAAGGCGCUUGGGACUUCGGUGGCACUUAAAGUUAGUAAUGAGAGCUGCAUGAUUUUAUUUUUAUUCCUGACUGGUUUAUCUAAGCAACAAGAGCAACAGCUAUAUAUGGAAUUUUAGAUUUCCUACUGCAUGUUUUAAAGUGCAUUUUGAAGCCCACUUUUCAAACUAUUGUUUAGUUAUCCGAUGUGUGAAUGUUUGUUGCACUUUGUAUGGUGUACUCACAGCAGAAGUCUGUCAGCCUGAGGUAGGUGCCCUGUUCUUCACAGUAGGUGCUAGUAGGUGCUUAGGAAAGGGUAGAAGGCCAUGGCAAGUUUAAGGUAUCAGCUCCUAGCUUGCAGGGUUCAGUAAAUAGUUCUUUGCUGCUGUUGUUAACGAGGCUGCCAAUUAGGAACAAAGUAAGAGGGAGGUUUACAACGUGACUGUGCACUUCCUAGCCGAGCUACACCUAAGCUGGUGAGACACAGAGUCUGUUUCCCGUUUGUAAUCUUUUGGAAACGUGUAAUCCUUCACAUCACAAUUACUACUUUAAAAAGUUAUUUUCAAGUCAUUCACAGGUGCCUCCCUGUCACGUGGACUUUCACUGGUCUGAGCAAAGGAGGAGCAAAGUUUAUUUUCAAAGCAAUAUGGGUUUAUUAGUGGUUUGGAAGCAAAACGUUCAGAAUGCUAUUCGGUUUUAAUUUAUGGUACAACCUAUUAACACAGGUAACAUAUUAUGAAACAGUGAGUGUAUUAUUUGUCAUAAGUUCCAUGGGACAUAAGAGGGGAAAAAUAAAGACCGAAGUACCUGAAUCGCUGGUUCAUUCUUUUGCAAUCCGAGUGUACCGUACAUAGAAAGAACAUGAAAGCCAGUUCUCUUCUACACCAGUACAAGUCCUGAACAACUACGGGGUGAUCGGUGGUUUUUGGUUUGGUGUAAAAGACCUCCGCAGCAGAAUGGUCCUUCAGGUUCCACUUCUAGCUUAAUUUCAUGUCCUUGUAGCAUUUACCUGUCAAGAGAGAAAAAAAAAAAUCAGCAAACAUAAACAGGACCAACCUUUUUCAGAGGUCAGGUGCAACUUCAGUUCUGCAAUUUUUAGUUGCCCAAUUUGAGAUACUUCAAAGAGGUCUUAUGCUCUGACGCCCAGAAAGUCAGAGCUUUGCGAGUGUCAUGGAAAAUCGACCCAAGAUGAGUAGUUCCUUUUGAAGGUUUUGGCCAAGGAAUUUUUCCAGUAAAACUACAUUCCAUAAACAUGGAGCAACACCUUAAGUAGACAACAACAAAUGAGGAACACUGCGGGUUUGAUUUGAAAGAGAGCUGUAUAUUCAGAAAGUGGGUCGGGGAGGAAGCCUGGUAGAGAGUGACUUGAGAGGGUGCCAGCACAAACAGAGGGUAGACGGCAAUAUUUUCAUCACACUGGAAUCGAGAUAGUAAAAGAGAAAUUUGCUGCUGGGAUGGAGCUUAUCAACCAGCUCUCUUGGUCUACGUAUUUUGAACAGAGAGGGAAUCAACAGAGGAGAAGAAGUCUUGGUAAGUGGCUGCUGGAGGAGGGGGGAGGAUGUGCACGUAGGUGUAGGGUUAGAGAGGGGAGAGGUAGAAAAAGAAAAUAUGCUGCAGGGCAGUACAGCUGACACGGGACAGUGCGGGGGGAGAGUAAUUCAUGCAAUUUUCAUUGCUGCGGCAUGUUGGGCUCUGGGCUCUCUCCGGUCCUUCUUACUCACUGAAGGCAUUUUCCAGAGCCAGGCUGUGGGGAAGGAGAGGAGCGGGCUACGUGCUCUUUCUCAGGAGAAGCAGCGUGGUGGCUGGCAGGGGAGCCAUGUGAAGCCCUUUCCUCUGCAUGGCUCCAGCUAUUUGGCAGGCUUCCACUCCGUAAAAAAAACCACCUGCAGCUUGUUGGCCAGGAUGACUUUAUCCAGCUAGAUAAAUGAGCUCUACACUGUCCAUAUAGUGCAUUGCAAACUGUGAGUGGGGAAAAAAAAAAAAAAGAAAUACAGGUUCAAGAAAUGGAAAUUUUGAGUUGUGCACAGCAUAGUUGGCUGCAGGGAGGCAGAAAAUCCUGAUGAGUUGACUUGCCCAAUUCAUGAAUAUCUGUUUACAUUUUAAACCGUUCCACUGCUGAUUUAUGGUGGAAAGUCUGCCAGGGCUUAUUUUUUCUUUUAUAGCAAAAAAAUACUUAUAACUUUAUGAUACUCCUAAACCUCCUGAUAUUAAAAAAUAAUUAUUAUUUGGGA